Molecule: long non-coding RNA, 760 nt
Organism: Anoplophora glabripennis (Asian longhorned beetle)
Lineage: Eukaryota; Metazoa; Arthropoda; Insecta; Coleoptera; Cerambycidae
Exons: 3
Source: RefSeq, a predicted model, not a curated record
UGUAAAUUUCGCUUUUAUUGAACUUUAAAUAUGUCUUGUGUUUUGUGCUGUGAAAGAAAGCGCAAAUUGCAGAAGAUGUCCAAUAUAAAACAUUUCUAAAUAUUUAGCUUUCUAGAAAUGAAACUUUACAGGAGUGGCUAAAGGUUCUUUCUAUCGAAAAAGAAAAUUGGGUAUGGACAAAAAAUAACGUAAUUUGCUCUGAACACUUUAAAGCGGAUGAUUUUGUCCCAUUUUGUGGAAGAAAAAUAGUACGACCCAACUCUGCAUCUUCCAUAAAAUUAUUUUGUGGUGUAUCUUCUUCCAUUUUAAACGAGAGUACUUUAUUGAGUUCAAUUAAUACAGGAGCUUUGACCAACAAAUUGAUACAAUCAAGUGAAUCAUCUUUGACCUAUAAUGUUACUGAAGUUCGAGUAGGUACAACGUAAAAAGAAGAGACAACUGGAUUUAAGUGUUCAGAAUACAUCGAAUGGUAACACUAGUACUGAUAGUAGCGCUAAGAGAAGGAGAAUUAUGGCAAUGAAAACAUACUUUAAUGGAUAACUUUAAUAAUGAAAAUAUCUUUGCAGUACAUCUCCUUCUACAGUUGCAACGAAAAAGGUUAAACUGAAACGUAGACAGGAAACUUACUGUUCAGUCUUUACGAAAAGAAAUUAGGGACGGAUUAUUCAAGGCCCUGCAUUAAGACAAAAUUAUUAAAUAAUUAUUUUCAACCAUCAGUAAAUAAAUAUGUUACGUUAUACAGUGUUUUAUUUUAAUAUAC